Ictidomys tridecemlineatus (thirteen-lined ground squirrel) is the source of this 933-nucleotide long non-coding RNA. RefSeq lists it as uncharacterized. The record is from RefSeq and is a predicted model, not a curated record. Lineage: Eukaryota; Metazoa; Chordata; Mammalia; Rodentia; Sciuridae.
GUCCCGACGCACCCUGGCGGCCCGCAGCGACAGCGAGGCGGUGCAGCUGAAGGGAGGGGUGGGCGGCGCGCUGGGGACCCCAGAGCCCAGGGCUACCCCGUUCCCCUGAGCACCGCCCAAGGUCCUGCCUCCCCCACUCCCCACUCCCCUCCCUCCCUCCAGCUGACCUCUGCACCGAGGGCCUGUAACAGAACCCCUGCACUCCCGCCUGCACGUCUCUGGGCCCGUUUUUCCUUUCCGCGCGCUGGGGGGUCCCCAGAAAUGGAACUUGGUCACUCAAGGAGCAGCAGGAAUGAAUGUCCCCUCUCCAAGCCUCCCUUUCUCUUAAUCCCUAGAAGAACUUCAAUAGGCCUGGAAUUCCCUGUUUGCCCUCCUGGGGAUCCACAGCAGAAAGUGACCAGGCCCACCCCAGGACAGGGCUGGAGCCGGUUUUCAGAAGCCACAUGAGACAUUUCCACCUAGGUCAGAAGAGCAGGUGGCUCUGACUGUGGGUGCUGCUUCUGGAACAAUCGGAUUCCUCCUGGCACCUGACUGUACUGCUUUCCAAGGAUGUGCUCCAACAAAACAAGGGAGGAAAGCAUGAAAUCAGGCAAUAGGACUAGCUGAAGCAGUGAUCCAGCAAGAGAGAGGGUUCUUCUCUGCACUUGGGCCAGGUUGGUUGGACUUUCUACUCCUCUCUCUGUACAGCGCCACUGGUAUGUCCUGGAAACACCGGUUUCAGCCCUCUGAAGCGACUUGGUCUACGCUGGCAAACAGGAGGGUGGCUCUGGUGAGCUGAGAAAGAGAAAGGAGACCCUUCCAUCAAAGAGUAGCAGCCCAAGGGAGCCUUGGACAGGAGGGACGCUCUCGCUGUUAUGUUAACCACCCUGCACAUCCACGUCUGUGUGAGCCAAAAUUGGAUACGCCACAAUUAAACAACACAACCAAAAACGG